This 332-nucleotide unclassified non-coding RNA is filed under the name soil metagenome. RNAcentral's name for it is "partial contains 5.8S ribosomal RNA, internal transcribed spacer 2, and large subunit ribosomal RNA". The stretch from base 1 to 120 matches the Rfam family "5.8S ribosomal RNA", at positions 35 to 154 of the family's 154-position model. The record is from RNAcentral.
GAUGAAGAACGCAGCAAAAUGCGAUAAGUAAUGUGAAUUGCAGAAUUCAGUGAAUCAUCGAAUCUUUGAACGCACAUUGCGCCCGCCAGUAUUCUGGCGGGCAUGUCUGUUCGAGCGUCAUUUCAACCCUCAAGCACAGCUUGGUGUUGGGACUCGCGUUAAUUCGCGUUCCUCAAAUUGAUUGGCGGUCACGUCGAGCUUCCAUAGCGUAGUAGUAAAACCCUCGUUACUGGUAAUCGUCGCGGCCACGCCGUUAAACCCCAACUUCUGAAUGUUGACCUCGGAUCAGGUAGGAAUACCCGCUGAACUUAAGCAUAUCAAUAAGCGGAGGA